UUCAGUUGCCCAACUGAGGAUCUACAACAGCCAGCUGACACACUCUCGGACACUAGACAAGCCAUUUUGUCAUAUUCUUGGAAGUCUCUCCUCUGUAUGUACAGAACUUCCUGGAUUAACAUGAAGAUGUGAAGUUCCAACACGAUCUCAGGACCCUGUAUGAGACAGGUGCAAUGCUCAGCAAUAUAUGAAGAGAAAUUAAAUGGCAGAAAUGUUAUGGAAUCACAGCAGCAUAAAAUCUGAGAGGAGGAAGGCUCAAUUGAGCUCCCAAGACCUGGUCCCCUUAGGAUUCCUUUUCUCUUUCUAACCUGGAGAAUAAAAGUCCAACAGGAAGAACAGGAAACAACCACCUGGCCGGAUGUGACUGACCAUGAAGAAAUACACCACCUAUUUUGCAAUGAUUAUGAUCACGUGUAAUAAGAAAUUCAUGAAACAUAUAAAGAUAUUAAAAUAAGCUUAUUGGUCUCAACAUGUUGAGAAGUCAAUGUAUACAUAAAAAUUACCAGCAUAAAAAAUAUUCACAAUCUAUAUAAGUAAAUACAGAAAGUUAUUAAACUAUC
RNAcentral lists this long non-coding RNA (560 nucleotides) under Rattus norvegicus (Norway rat). RNAcentral describes it as "long non-coding RNA NONRATT017414". Lineage: Eukaryota; Metazoa; Chordata; Mammalia; Rodentia; Muridae. The record is from RNAcentral.